ACUUCUCCAGCAUCAUGGUUUUAAGCCUGUGUCCUUUGCUGAUCCAGUGGAGAAUAAAAACCUUUCAGAUUUGGUUCUGCUGGACAAAAAGUCAGCGAGUGAGAUCAGGGCCACUCUGAGCACCAUGCUCAAAGACUCAGAGAGGAGGCAGGCUCUCAUCCAGCAGCUUGUGAAGUCCAACAACCAACUCAAAGAGGACGUUCAGAAACACAUGAGUCGAGCUGCUCACCACUCUCAGCGGGUCACAGACCUAGAGGCGCUGAUGGACCAGGUGAAGGCCAAAGUCCAGGAUAUGGAGGACCGCUUUCUUAGUGUAACUGUCCAACAUCACAG
RNA transcript from Cynoglossus semilaevis (tongue sole), 333 nucleotides. RefSeq lists it as uncharacterized. The transcript has 3 exons. The record is from RefSeq and is a predicted model, not a curated record. NCBI's taxonomy places the organism in Eukaryota, Metazoa, Chordata, Actinopteri, Pleuronectiformes, Cynoglossidae.